UGCCAGCCUCCGCGGUACUACUGAUUGUUCAAGCGUUAUCCGGAUUCAUUGGGUUUAAAGGGUGCGUAGGCGGCCCUGUGUGUCAGAGGUGAAAUCCCACGGCUCAACCGUGGAAUUGCCUUUGAAACUGCAGGGCUUGAGUCCGAGAGGGGAUGGUGGAAUUCCUGGUGUAACGGUGAAAUGUGCAGAUAUCAGGAAGAACACCCGUGGCGAAGGCGGCCAUCUGGCUCGGAACUGACGCUGAGGCACGAAAGCUAGGGUAUCGAACGGGAUUAGAUA
Molecule: ribosomal RNA, 279 nt
Filed under: uncultured bacterium
Lineage: Bacteria
Description: partial 16S ribosomal RNA
Rfam family: Bacterial small subunit ribosomal RNA
Source: RNAcentral